This 443-nucleotide ribosomal RNA is filed under the name uncultured Actinomycetales bacterium. RNAcentral's name for it is "bacterial SSU rRNA". It matches the Rfam family "Bacterial small subunit ribosomal RNA", at positions 341 to 792 of the family's 1533-position model. The record is from RNAcentral. Lineage: Bacteria; Bacillati; Actinomycetota; Actinomycetes; Actinomycetales.
ACGGGAGGCAGCAGUGGGGAAUAUUGCACAAUGGGCGGAAGCCUGAUGCAGCGACGCCGCGUGAGGGAUGACGGCCUUCGGGUUGUAAACCUCUUUCAGCCGGGACGAAGGCCUUUGGGUUGACGGUACCGGCAGAAGAAGCGCCGGCCAACUACGUGCCAGCAGCCGCGGUAAGACGUAGGGCGCGAGCGUUGUCCGGAUUUAUUGGGCGUAAAGAGCUCGUAGGCGGCUUGUCGCGUCGACUGUGAAAACCCGCGGCUCAACCGCGGGCCUGCAGCCGAUACGGGCAGGCUAGAGUUCGGUAGGGGAGACUGGAAUUCCUGGUGUAGCGGUGAAAUGCGCAGAUAUCAGGAGGAACACCGGUGGCGAAGGCGGGUCUCUGGGCCGAUACUGACGCUGAGGAGCGAAAGCGUGGGGAGCGAACAGGAUUAGAUACCCUGGUA